RNAcentral lists this long non-coding RNA (200 nucleotides) under Arachis ipaensis. Its description in RNAcentral is "long non-coding RNA (AIPA_LNC001239)". Lineage: Eukaryota; Viridiplantae; Streptophyta; Magnoliopsida; Fabales; Fabaceae. The record is from RNAcentral.
GGAAAUUUUUCAUUUUGAGUCUGACGAUGGUCUGGCUCAAGGAUAUCUUUUUAUCUUUUGAGUGGUCUGAGUAUUUCUGCACUGUCCUUUCCCCGAUCUUUUUCCCGUCCUUCAUGCGAAGGAAAAGGCUUCAAUCUCACAUUUCGAUGUCACUGCUGAAUGAAUGUGGUUGCUUGAAAGGAAAAUUUCACAUAUGGAAG